CGAGUGAUACUCGAACCAGAGA
This 22-nucleotide small nuclear RNA is filed under the name Arabidopsis thaliana (thale cress). Its description in RNAcentral is "snRNA_04118". The record is from RNAcentral. Lineage: Eukaryota; Viridiplantae; Streptophyta; Magnoliopsida; Brassicales; Brassicaceae.